This 589-nucleotide ribosomal RNA is filed under the name uncultured bacterium. Its description in RNAcentral is "bacterial SSU rRNA". It matches the Rfam family "Bacterial small subunit ribosomal RNA", at positions 338 to 917 of the family's 1533-position model. The record is from RNAcentral.
CCUACGGGAGGCAGCAGUAGGGAAUCUUCCGCAAUGGACGAAAGUCUGACGGGGCAACGCCGCGUGAGUGAUGAAGGCUUUCGGGUCGUAAAACUCUGUUGUUAGGGAAGAACAAGUGCUAGUUGAAUAAGCUGGCACCUUGACGGUACCUAACCAGAAAGCCACGGCUAACUACGUGCCAGCGGCCGCGGUAAUACGUAGGUGGCAAGCGUUAUCCGGAAUUAUUGGGCGUAAAGCGCGCGCAGGUGGUUUCUUAAGUCAGAUGUGAAAGCCCGGGGCUUAACCUCGGAAUUGCAUUUGAAACUGGCAGGCUAGAGUCUUGUAGAGGGGGGUAGAAUUUCAGGUGUAGCGGUGAAAUGCGUAGAGAUCUGAAGGAAUACCAGUGGCGAAGGCGACUUUCUGGCCUGUAACUGACACUGAGGCGCGAAAGCGUGGGGAGCAAACAGGAUUAGAUACCCUGGUAGUCCACGCCGUAAACGAUGAGUGCUAAGUGUUAGAGGGUUUCCGCCCUUUAGUGCUGAAGUUAACGCAUUAAGCACUCCGCCUGGGGAGUACGGCCGCAAGGCUGAAACUCAAAGGAAUUGACGGA